RNAcentral lists this ribosomal RNA (740 nucleotides) under Toxocara canis (dog roundworm). Its description in RNAcentral is "eukaryotic LSU rRNA". It matches the Rfam family "Eukaryotic large subunit ribosomal RNA", at positions 69 to 647 of the family's 3401-position model. The record is from RNAcentral. Lineage: Eukaryota; Metazoa; Nematoda; Chromadorea; Rhabditida; Toxocaridae.
CGAGGAUUCCUCUAGUAACGGCGAGUGAAUGGGGAAAAGCCCAGCGCUGAAUCCAUUGGCCACUGGUCGCUUGGAAUUGUAGCGUAUAGGUGCGGUUGUCCGUUUGUUUCGCGCACCCAAAGUCCCCUUGAGUGGGGCUAUAGUCCAAAGAAGGUGCUAGACCUGUACGGGUGGCGAGACGAUCGGUUGAUUGCUCCUUGGAGUCGGGUUGCCUGGGAUCGCAGCCCAAAGUUGGUGGUAGACCUCAUCUAAGGCUAAAUAUGGCCACGAAACCGAUAGCAAACAAGUACCGUGAGGGAAAGUGCAAAGAACUUUGAAGAGAGAGUUCAAGAGGGCGUGAAACCGCUGAGAUUGAAACGGAUAGAGUUGACUUAACUCGGCUGCAUUCAUCCGGUCGGUCUAGCGGUCCAAUGGUUUUGACUUCCUCGAAGAGGCGAACCGUCGGCAACUGUUGGGCAUUUGAUCGGUGUAUUUGCGGCUGGUAUGCGCUGAGAGCUUUGCGAUCGCGUGUUGACAAACGUGCAGUGGACCAUUCCUUCCGGGCGUGGAAACCUUCGCGCUUUGAGACAUGUCGGUUGUAAGGUUUUGAAGAUGGCGUCUCCGCUAUGGUGCGUCAGCUUUUUCGAGCUGUUGUGGCUGCUGGAUGGUCGCAUGCGACUAUCUGCAGUCAUCGAUGGUGCGAGAUGAGUGUGGACGCGGCGAGGCGUUGAUCUCGGUGUGAACGUCGACCACCUAUCCGA